RNAcentral lists this ribosomal RNA (255 nucleotides) under uncultured bacterium. RNAcentral describes it as "partial 16S ribosomal RNA". It matches the Rfam family "Bacterial small subunit ribosomal RNA", at positions 102 to 353 of the family's 1533-position model. The record is from RNAcentral.
ACGGGUGAGUAACGCGUGGGUAACCUGCCCUGUACAGGGGGAGUAACAGUCAGAAAUGACUGCUAAUACCGCAUAAGACCACAGCACCGCAUGGUGCAGGGGUAAAAACUACCGGUGGUACAGGAUGGACCCGCGUCUGAUUAGCUGGUUGGUGAGGUAACGGCUCACCAAGGCGACGAUCAGUAGCCGGCUUGAGAGAGUGAACGGCCACAUUGGGACUGAGACACGGCCCAAACUCCUACGGGAGGCAGCAUG